RNAcentral lists this ribosomal RNA (253 nucleotides) under uncultured bacterium. RNAcentral describes it as "partial 16S ribosomal RNA". It matches the Rfam family "Bacterial small subunit ribosomal RNA", at positions 524 to 776 of the family's 1533-position model. The record is from RNAcentral.
UACGAAGGGGGCUAGCGUUGCUCGGAAUCACUGGGCGUAAAGGGUACGUAGGCGGGUUGUUAAGUCAGGGGUGAAAUCCUGGAGCUCAACUCCAGAACUGCCUUUGAUACUGGAGAUCUUGAGUUCGGGAGAGGUGAGUGGAACUGCGAGUGUAGAGGUGAAAUUCGUAGAUAUUCGCAAGAACACCAGUGGCGAAGGCGGCUCACUGGCCCGAUACUGACGCUGAGGCACGAAAGCGUGGGGAGCAAACAGG